UACGGAGGAUGCGAGCGUUAUCCGGAUUUAUUGGGUUUAAAGGGUGCGUAGGCGGAUUUUUAAGUCAGCGGUAAAAUGUCCGGGCUCAACCCGGGCCGGCCGUUGAAACUGGGGAUCUUGAGUGGGCGAGAAGUAUGCGGAAUGCGUGGUGUAGCGGUGAAAUGCAUAGAUAUCACGCAGAACUCCGAUUGCGAAGGCAGCAUACCGGCGCCCGACUGACGCUGAGGCACGAAAGCGUGGGGAUCGAACAG
RNAcentral lists this ribosomal RNA (251 nucleotides) under uncultured bacterium. RNAcentral's name for it is "partial 16S ribosomal RNA". It matches the Rfam family "Bacterial small subunit ribosomal RNA", at positions 524 to 775 of the family's 1533-position model. The record is from RNAcentral.